GUGUGUGAUACCAACUUCCAGUAUCAAAUUUAUUCAAAGUACCACCAACGGGGACCCCUGAAUACCACUAUGGCCAUUCAUAAACAAACUGUUGAAAAAGAAGCACAAGACAAAGACCUAUGAUACUGGACAAGAAAACAAAAGUUCUGGGAGUUGGAUUUGAGAUGAUUAUUUUUUGUAUAGGUUUUCUACUUAAACUCAAUUUAGAUCAUGUUUACUCAUCACGUGGGAAGAGAACAUCAGGCUCCUUCAGCUUCACAGCACUCAACUUAUAAGAUCAAACAUACACAGAGUUUACUGCUAGGGCCUGGGAAAAUUCCAACAGAAACCCUGGAGAGAGAGAGAUCCCCUGCGGUGGUACCAUCUCUUCUGGCUGGGAGAUUGAUGUGGAAACUGGGGAAAGAAUAUUCAGGCUGAAAUGAAUAGAAAGAGCUCUAUAAAUGAGUAACAGGAUAAUUAAAGCAUGAAGCUUUCUACAUCUCGAGAUAAUGGUAAUGGAGUUCAAGCUACUGAUAGCAUCUUUUAGAGUUUGCCAGUUUGUGAGGAAUGGAGCCAAGUUAAGAAUAGACCAUCAAUCAACCCUAUAAAGAAGUUUGUGUGUCCAUUAAGUGUUCUGCAAUUACCAGAAGUACCCACCUAUUUUCAGAAAAAGGCUGAGAAAGAAAGGAGGAAAAAGCCUCUCCAAAUACAAUUUUUGCCACACGUAAGUAACUUUCUCUAGAAAGCUUUCUAAAAUAUUCCAGAAAGAGUCCUCAUACCUGUUGCUUCAUUUUAAUCAUCUCAGAGGAUCUCGAAAUACUGAGGAUUUCUAUUGGGACAUGUGUCUUUACCUUUCUAAGAGCUGAAUUGUUUAGUCCUUCCACAAAAGUAUUGACAGACAGGGGCAGAUUCCUGCUCCUGUUUUAGAGGGUGGACGUGAGAAGCGUCAGAAGCCGAGCUGGGCAAAGGACCUGUCGUCCCACGGAAGGAGGGAUGUGGUUUGAAGAAUCCCAGAGCAAACAUCUAAGCAAAACGCCUGAAAGUCUUUUCUCAUCCUGCAAAUUUUAAAACUCUGUCUCCAACAUCAGUGACCAAGUGCGUUUGGAAUUCCAACAAAUUCAGGAGCAUCGUAAUUUAUGCUCAUGUCUUCUAAUCUGAGAGCUUUGCAAGCCCUCUCUUCCCGCUUCUCAAUGCACAUUUGGAUUUGCUUCCUUCCAUCCUUCCAGGUGGAAACGAACUUGAAGUCUUUAAAAAGAAAUUGUGUUUAUCAAGGUCAUUGCCUGAAGGAUAGUUGGCAAAAGGGCACUUUGCCUUUUAGAUAAGGCCUCUCUGGGAGAUUAAAAAAGACUGGAGUCACUUCCAUUCUUUGAAGCUCCA
RNAcentral lists this long non-coding RNA (1356 nucleotides) under Equus caballus (horse). RNAcentral's name for it is "lncRNA (ENSECAG00000048559.1)". Lineage: Eukaryota; Metazoa; Chordata; Mammalia; Perissodactyla; Equidae. The record is from RNAcentral.